ACCCAGAUGCUAAAGAUUGUAACUUUUUAUCUUCCAAUAUGAAUUAAAACCAAAAAGAUUGAAUCUUGAUUGAAAAGAAGACUCCCUUUUUCUCCACAACUUGAACUUAGUACCCUUAAAAUACAAAUAAACCAAUCCAAAAUAAUAUGUUAUCCUUAUAAAAAUUUGAUCUUUUCCUUGAAUACUCAAAAUUCAAUAGCUCCACAUUCAGAUCUCAAAAUCUUGGAAUCCAAAGUUACCAUUAACAUUAAGAAAAUACUCAGAAAUAAUAUACAAGUUGGAUACAACAAUGAACAUAUGGAUAUAAGAUUGGUAAAAAAAGAGAUACAAACCAGUAUCUGCAGUCAAGAAGCAGAACAAAAAUUUUAAACAGUAGCCAUAAUUCAAUUAAAAUAAAUAUUUAUGUUGCCCCCUUUUUGAGAAAUACUCCCAAAAAAAAUUGCAGAGAAGAGA
Molecule: long non-coding RNA, 453 nt
Filed under: Nicotiana benthamiana
Lineage: Eukaryota; Viridiplantae; Streptophyta; Magnoliopsida; Solanales; Solanaceae
Description: long non-coding RNA (NBEN_LNC040814)
Source: RNAcentral